UUACGAUCAAAUCCUAUUGAAAACGCCGGUUCUCAUUCGAUAAACAAAGUUAACUAGUGUCGAGCCCGGUCAGUACUUUGAUGGGGGACAACUUGGUAACACCGGGUACUGUAAG
Acanthosepion pharaonis is the source of this 115-nucleotide non-coding RNA. NCBI's taxonomy places the organism in Eukaryota, Metazoa, Mollusca, Cephalopoda, Sepiida, Sepiidae. The record is from the annotation of a GenBank genome assembly.